AUAGAAUUAUUGCUGCGGUUAAAAAGCUCGUAGUUGGAUCUGUGCUGGGAACUGGGUCCGCCUUCGGGUGUGCACUCAGCUUCCCGGCUUUUUGCUGGUUUUCCCGUUGUGGCCUUUACCGGUUGCAGCGGGUGGCUGGCGAGUUUACCUUGAAGAAAUCAAAGUGCUUAAUACAGGCGAUUUGCUUGAAUGUGGUGCAUGGAAUAAUAGAAAAGGAUUUCGGUUCUCUUUUAUUGGUUUUACGAGCUGAGAUAAUGGUUAACAGAGACAAACGGGGGCAUUCGUAUCGUUGCGUGAGAGGUGAAAUUCUUGGACCGCAGCGAGACGAACUACAG
Molecule: ribosomal RNA, 335 nt
Filed under: Aphelenchus avenae
Lineage: Eukaryota; Metazoa; Nematoda; Chromadorea; Rhabditida; Aphelenchidae
Description: SSU rRNA
Rfam family: Eukaryotic small subunit ribosomal RNA
Source: RNAcentral